AUGCCAGAUCUCCAGGGGCUGUUUUCUCUUCCUGGCAAAAAUUGUUCAAAUGAGCUAGAGUCAAAUAUAAGUAUUUACAAAAUAUUGGGCCCACGCGCCACUGCAUCCCGCGCCCAGCGCCUACGUCCCGCCACCGUCGCCACCGUGCCCAAGAGAAAGGCUGAAGGGGAUGCUGAAAGAGACAAAGCCAAGGUGAAGGACGAACCACAGAGAAGAUCCGAGAGGUUGUCUGCUAAACCUGCUCUUCCAAAGCCAGAGCCCAAGCCUAAAAAGGUCCUUGCAAAGAAGGGAGAGAAGGUACCCAAAGGGAAAAAGGGAAAAGCUGAUGCUGGCAAGGAAGGGAAUAACCCCGCAGAAAAUGGAGAGGCCAAAACAGACCGGGCACAGAAGGCCGACGGUGCUGGAGAUGCCAAGUGAAGGGUGUGUAUUUUUGAUAACUGUGUACUUCUGGUGACUGUACAGUUUGAAAUACUAUUUUUUAUCAAGUUUUAUAAAAAUGCAGAAUUUUGUUUGACUUUUUUUAUUUUUUUAAGCUAUGUUGUUAGCACACAGAACACUUCAUUGUUGUUUUGGGGGAAGGGGCAUAUGUCACUAAUAGAAUGUCUCCAAAGCUGGAUUGAUGUGGGGAAACGCCUUAUCCUUCCAGUUUUGAGAGACUUCCUCUUGGCUCCCAGGAGGAGGGAUUCCCUGACUUUGACACACAUGGACCCCUUGGCACACAAAAGCCUUGUGGCAUGGAAAAACAAAUUCAUUUUUAUGUCCUCUUCUCCCUUUCCAUCUUUCAGCAUAGACUUAGCUCCCUUAAGCCCAGACAUCUGUUGGGACCUGACCCCCAGUCAUUGGUUACCAGUGGGUCAGGCAAUCUGGACUUGCCAGUGAUGCCACUGAGAUGGCACCUGUCAAAAGAGCAGUGAUUCCAUUUCUAGAUUGUGGCUCUUCAGAUAAAUUCUGCCAUUUUCAUUUCACUUCCUGAAAGUCAGGGUCGGCUCGUGAAAAGUUGUUAAACAAUAUGCUAAAUGUGAAAUGUCAACCUUCACUCUAAACUUUCCCUGUUCAGAGCAUCAGAUGAAGAUUUCAUUGGGUUUUAUAGUGGCUUUCUGAUUUUUGGUAGUCUAUCAAAGAAGGGAGUUUGAAAGUUGUUGUAUACUGUUAACGAUUGUCUGCCCAUGUCCUGCCUGAAAUACCAUGAUUGUUUAUGGAAAGUAUCUUUAAUAAAGCUGGAUACAGUUUGGCUUGGAAAAAA
Molecule: RNA transcript, 1243 nt
Organism: Sapajus apella (tufted capuchin)
Lineage: Eukaryota; Metazoa; Chordata; Mammalia; Primates; Cebidae
Gene name: non-histone chromosomal protein HMG-17 pseudogene
Exons: 2
Source: RefSeq, a predicted model, not a curated record